Molecule: ribosomal RNA, 492 nt
Filed under: uncultured bacterium
Lineage: Bacteria
Description: partial 16S ribosomal RNA
Rfam family: Bacterial small subunit ribosomal RNA
Source: RNAcentral
AGUGAACGCUGGCGGUAGGCCUAACACAUGCAAGUCGAACGGCAGCACAGUAAGAGCUUGCUCUUACGGGUGGCGAGUGGCGGACGGGUGAGGAAUACAUCGGAAUCUACUUUUUCGUGGGGGAUAACGUAGGGAAACUUACGCUAAUACCGCAUACGACCUACGGGUGAAAGCAGGGGAUCUUCGGACCUUGCGCGAUUGAAUGAGCCGCUGUCGGAUUAGCUAGUUGGCGGGGUAAAGGCCCACCAAGGCGACGAUCCGUAGCUGGUCUGAGAGGAUGAUCAGCCACACUGGAACUGAGACACGGUCCAGACUCCUACGGGAGGCAGCAGUGGGGAAUAUUGGACAAUGGGCGCAAGCCUGAUCCAGCCAUACCGCGUGGGUGAAGAAGGCCUUCGGGUUGUAAAGUCCUUUUGUUGGGAAAGAAAAGCAGCAGGUUAAUACCCCGCUGUUCUGACGGUACCCAAAGAAUAAGCACCGGCUAACUUCGUG